Molecule: small nucleolar RNA, 84 nt
Organism: Ochotona princeps (American pika)
Lineage: Eukaryota; Metazoa; Chordata; Mammalia; Lagomorpha; Ochotonidae
Product: small nucleolar RNA MBII-202
Exons: 1
Source: RefSeq, a predicted model, not a curated record
UGAUGACUGUCUUGGGAAUCAUUGUACCAUGUUGAUGAAAGCACAUUUGAACCCUUUUCCACCUCACUGCUGAGCCAGGCCCAU